UUGUAAGUGUUUAAGGGCACAUGGUGGAUGCCUUGGCAUCAGGAGCCGAUGAAGGACGUGGGAGGCUGCGAUAUGCCUCGGGGAGCUGCCAACCGAGCGUGGAUCCGAGGAUGUCCGAAUGGGGAAACCCGGCACGAGUGAUGUCGUGUCACCCGUAUCUGAAUACAUAGGGUGCGGGAGGGAACGCGGGGAAGUGAAACAUCUCAGUACCCGUAGGAAAAGAAAACAAUAGUGAUUCCGUGAGUAGUGGCGAGCGAAAGCGGAGGAUGGCUAAACCGUGCGCAUGUGAUACCCGGCGGGGGUUGUGUGUGUGGUGUUGUGGGGUUUGUGUUCUCUGGUCCGCCGAUCAGGGCUGCAGUAGUGGCGUGUUAGUCGAAGUGGCCUGGGAUGGUCUGCCGUAGACGGUGAGAGCCCGGUAGGUGAAAACAUGUCAUCUGUAGUCACGAAUACCCGAGUAGCAGCGGGCCCGUGGAAUCUGCUGUGAAUCUGCCGAGACCACUCGGUAAGCCUGAAUACUUCCUGAUGACCGAUAGCGGAUUAGUACCGUGAGGGAAUGGUGAAAAGUACCCCGGGAGGGGAGUGAAAGAGUACCUGAAACCGUGUGCCUACAAGCCGUCAGAGCCUUCCCUUUUGGGUGGGGUGAUGGCGUGCCUUUUGAAGAAUGAGCCUGCGAGUCAGGGACAUGUCGCGAGGUUAACCCGUGUGGGGUAGCCGCAGCGAAAGCGAGUCUGAAUAGGGCGUAUCCAUCGUGAGGUGGUGUAGUGGUGUGUUCUGGACCCGAAGCGGAGUGAUCUACCCAUGGCCAGGGUGAAGCGCGGGUAAGACCGCGUGGAGGCCCGAACCCACUUAGGUUGAAGACUGAGGGGAUGAGUUGUGGGUAGGGGUGAAAGGCCAAUCAAACUCCGUGAUAGCUGGUUCUCCCCGAAAUGCAUUUAGGUGCAGCGUUGCGUGUUUCUUACCGGAGGUAGAGCUACUGGAUGGCCGAUGGGCCCUACUAGGUUACUGACGUCAGCCAAACUCCGAAUGCCGGUAAGGCAAAGCGUGGCAGUGAGACGGCGGGGGAUAAGCUCCGUGCGUCGAGAGGGAAACAGCCCAGAUCGCCGGCUAAGGCCCCUAAGCGUGUGCUAAGUGGAAAAGGAUGUGCAGUCGCAUAGACAACCAGGAGGUUGGCUUAGAAGCAGCCACCCUUGAAAGAGUGCGUAAUAGCUCACUGGUCAAGUGAUUGUGCGCCGAUAAUGUAGCGGGGCUCAAGCACACCGCCGAAGCCGCGGCAACAACUUUUGUUGUUGGGUAGGGGAGCGUCCUGCAUCCAGUGAAGCCACCUAGUGAUGGUGUGGUGGAGGGUGUGGGAGUGAGAAUGCAGGCAUGAGUAGCGAUAAGGCAAGUGAGAACCUUGCCCGCCGAAAGACCAAGGGUUCCUGGGCCAGGCCAGUCCGCCCAGGGUGAGUCGGGACCUAAGGCGAGGCCGACAGGCGUAGUCGAUGGACAACGGGUUGAUAUUCCCGUACCCGUGUGUGCGCGCCCAUGACGAAUCCAUUCUGCUAACCGUCCAAAAGGCGGCAUAUCUGCGACCUUCGGGUCAAUGAGUGUCGCCGGCUGCACGGGACCCGGAUGGGUAGUAGUCAAGCGAUGGGGUGACGCAGGAAGGUAGCCGUACCAGUCAGUGGUAAUACUGGGGCAAGCCCGUAGGCAGUCAGAUAGGUAAAUCCGUCUGGCAUAUAUGCCGAGAGGUGAUGCAUAACCGGAUGAGGUGAAUUCGGUGAUCCUAUGCUGCCGAGAAAAGCCUCUAGCGAGCUCACACACGGCCCGUACCCCAAACCAACACAGGUGGUCAGGUAGAGAAUACCAAGGCGUACGAGAGAACUAUGGUUAAGGAACUCGGCAAAAUACCCCCGUAACUUCGGGAGAAGGGGGGCCCACACACCGUCAUGGCCCACGCGGCCGGCAGCGGGAGUGGGUCGCAGAAACCAGUGAGAAGCGACUGUUUACUAAAAACACAGGUCCGUGCGAAGUCGCAAGACGAUGUAUACGGACUGACGCCUGCCCGGUGCUGGAAGGUUAAGAGGACCCGUUAACCGUUAAAAGUGAAGCGGAGAAUUUAAGCCCCAGUAAACGGCGGUGGUAACUAUAACCAUCCUAAGGUAGCGAAAUUCCUUGUCGGGUAAGUUCCGACCUGCACGAAUGGCGUAACGACUUCUCAACUGUCUCAACCAUAGACUCGGCGAAAUUGCACUACGAGUAAAGAUGCUCGUUACGCGCGGCAGGACGAAAAGACCCCGGGACCUUCACUAUAGCUUGGUAUUGAUGUUCGGUACGGUUUGUGUAGGAUAGGUGGGAGACUGUGAAACAAUUACGCCAGUAAUUGCGGAGUCGUUGUUGAAAUACCACUCUGAUCGUAUUGGACCUCUAACCUCGAACCGUCUAUCCGGUUCAGGAACAGUGCCUGGUGGGUAGUUUAACUGGGGCGGUUGCCUCCCAAAAUGUAACGGAGGCGCCCAAAGGUUCCCUCAACCUGGACGGCAAUCAGGUGUUGAGUGCAAGUGCACAAGGGAGCUUGACUGCAAGACUGACACGUCAAGCAGGGACGAAAGUCGGGACUAGUGAUCCGGCACCCCCGAGUGGAAGGGGUGUCGCUCAACGGAUAAAAGGUACCCCGGGGAUAACAGGCUGAUCUUCCCCAAGAGUCCAUAUCGACGGGAUGGUUUGGCACCUCGAUGUCGGCUCGUCGCAUCCUGGGGCUGGAGCAGGUCCCAAGGGUUGGGCUGUUCGCCCAUUAAAGCGGCACGCGAGCUGGGUUUAGAACGUCGUGAGACAGUUCGGUCUCUAUCCGCCGCGCGCGUCAGAAGCUUGAGGAAACCUGUCCCUAGUACGAGAGGACCGGGACGGACGAACCUCUGGUCCACCAGUUGUCCCACCAGGGGCACCGCUGGAUAGCCACGUUCGGACAGGAUAACCGCUGAAAGCAUCUAAGCGGGAAACCCCCUCCAAGACCAGGCUUCUCACCCAUUCAAGUGGGAUAAGGCCCCCCGCAGACCACGGGAUCAAUAGACCAGACCUACACAACCAGCAAUGGUUUCAGGGAACUGGCACUAACCGGCCGAAAACUUACACAC
Molecule: ribosomal RNA, 3113 nt
Filed under: Candidatus Mycobacterium wuenschmannii
Lineage: Bacteria; Bacillati; Actinomycetota; Actinomycetes; Mycobacteriales; Mycobacteriaceae
Description: Mycobacterium sp. 'wuenschmanii' 23S ribosomal RNA
Rfam family: Bacterial large subunit ribosomal RNA
Source: RNAcentral